Molecule: ribosomal RNA, 253 nt
Filed under: uncultured bacterium
Lineage: Bacteria
Description: partial 16S ribosomal RNA
Rfam family: Bacterial small subunit ribosomal RNA
Source: RNAcentral
UACAGAGGUGGCAAGCGUUGUUCGGAAUUACUGGGCGUAAAGGGCUCGUAGGUGGCCAACUAAGUCAGACGUGAAAUCCCUCGGCUUAACCGGGGAACUGCGUCUGAUACUGGAUGGCUUGAGUUUGGGAGAGGGACGCGGAAUUCCAGGUGUAGCGGUGAAAUGCGUAGAUAUCUGGAGGAACACCGGUGGCGAAGGCGGCAUCCUGGACCAUUACUGACACUGAAAAGCGAAAGCCAGGGGAGCAAACGGG